RNAcentral lists this ribosomal RNA (497 nucleotides) under uncultured bacterium. RNAcentral's name for it is "partial 16S ribosomal RNA". It matches the Rfam family "Bacterial small subunit ribosomal RNA", at positions 38 to 507 of the family's 1533-position model. The record is from RNAcentral.
GGGGGGGGGGGGGGGGGGGGCGGGGGGGGGGGGGGCGGGCGAACGGGCGCGGAGCUUGCUUCUCUGAUGUUAGCGGCGGACGGGGGAGGAACACGUGGAUAACCGACCUAUAAGACUGGGAUAACUUCGGGAAACCGGAGCUAAUACCGGAUAAUAUGUUGAACCGCAUGGUUCAAAAGUGAAAGACGGUCUGGCUGUCACUUAUAGAUGUAUCCGCGCUGCAUUAGCUAGUUGGUAAGGUAACGGCUUACCAAGGCAACGAUGCAUAGCCGACCUGAGAGGGUGAGCGGCCACACUGGAACUGACACACGGUCAAGACUCAUACGGGAGGCAGCAGUAGGGAAUCUUCCGCAAUGGGCGAAAGCCUGACGGAGCAACGCCGCGUGAGUGAUGAAGGUCUUCGGAUCGUAAAACUCUGUUAUUAGGGAAGAACAUAUGUGUAAGUAACUGUGCACAUAUUGACGGUACCUAAUCAGAAAGCCACGGCUAACUACGUG